ACGAGAAAAUUAAUUCACUAUUCGAGUAUGGGCUACGUUUUCAAGGAGAUUUCACCACCUCAUAGCUUUACACUCAUAUCAUUACGAAUAAGCAAAGGAGAUGAGUUUCCAUCGAUAAUAUCGGGUUUCAAUUCUUUUCCUUGUUUCGUCGAUUUCAAGUUCUACAACAAUCAACUUUUUCCAGCUUUGGUCAAUUUCAAGCUCUGCUACUAUGGCAAAAAUUAAUUUUUCGUACGCAACAUGUUCGCCUACUACAAUGUCAUCACUCUUAUAUUGCUCGGACUUGACAUCAGUAAUCCAAACACUGAAAUGACGUAAUAACAACGAAAUAUUCAUUGCGAUUAGUUGAUAAAGAAAAAAUGGCAGAAAUAAAAAAGGAGAAGAAGAAUGAAUGGCAGAAAGAGAAACUGAGAAGAAGAAGGAAUAUGCAAAUUGAAUAGAAAGAAUAAUAUUUCAAAAAUCUUUCAUUAUUAACAAUAUGCCCUUUUUUAGGGAAUAUAUUGUUGUUAUUUAAAAGAUUUAGAGAGUUAAUUGCUCAUUAAUUAAAUCCUUAAUUUAUCGUUAUCAUGCUUGAUUUCAGGAAUUUAUUUGGUUAUUCAAAUGUAUCAUCACACUUGUAUCUCUUUGAAUUAUAUGUAUCUGAAAAUUAAAAAAUUGAAAUUUCAUGAAAUAUUAGAAAAAAAUCGGAAUAAGGUGAAUGUGGAUAAACUAGUCAGGAUUUAUGUAAAUUUUUGGAUAUCUGUCGAGUGAAUCAUCUACUGGUCAAUCAUUACUAUUAAUUAUAUUUUUAUUAUUUCCUAUAUUCAAAAUAAAUCUGUUGUUACUGUAUGUAUGUUUUUUCCACCUUUAAACAACCAAAUAAUUCUUUAAGGGAAAAGGAUUACAAAAACCCUUCUAUUUUCAUUUGUCGAUUAAGUUUAUCUCUAGUUACACUGUAGGUCAAAUAUAUAAAAUUUGACAUAAUGUGAUAUUUGUGUGAGGUGAAGGCCAUAUGACAAGUCACUUCACCGCCAAUCUUAUUUGGAAAAAACUAUAAAAUUAGACAAACAUCUGUCCAAUUACAUAACCACACUUAAUUUUAAAAGAAUUACAAAACAAAACGUAUCUUCAGAUACAUAAAUACCUGAAUACACGUUGUAACAGCACCUACGUAACUUCUUUUUUUUUAUAGAACAUGUAUCUAAAAUUACACAAAUACACAAUCUCAAUCGAUGUAUCUGAGAUACACGACACAUACUGUAAUUUUUUGAAAUUUGUGUUGCGUUGAGGAGGGAAAGAGGGAGUAUCUAUUUUUUUUAUAUACUUCCUUCUCCAAUAAUGUUUGUUCAUUAUUGACUUCACACAAAUCUUACAAAACAAUAAAUAUUAUAGAUAAUUUUACUAUAUCAUUCUUUGAAAAUAAUAAACUUAUGGAGCAUUUAAUAGCAAAGGUAAAAUGGACACGAAAUGAUUAAACUAUCCCUUAAUUUUCAAACUGAACAAGUACUUUUGAAAAUCUAUUUUUAGUAUAAUUGACAAGUAAAGAUUGAUGGAAGAACUAACAAUACAAAAGCAAAUCCAAAACUAGAUAAGGUUGGGGGGGUAAGAAAGAGCCGUAGUUACAACCUACCUGUAAAUUGGAAAGUCGAAAUGCAAGGUCUUACAAUUACAACAGGAAGUGCAACUCCUUGUGUUCACUCUUCACUUGCUAGAUUCUCUUCCAAAACCACUAAUGUUGCCUCCAGGUUUACUGCAAAAGCUGUCCAGAAGCAAAGCUUAGCUGCAUUUCAACCAACAUUUCAUCUUUUCUCAUCAAAUGUUAAUGCCCCCAAAAGGCAACUUAGAGCUCAUGUAUUCCUACCACAUUUGGUUGCAUCAAUGGUAAUUCAUUCUUUUUUUUAUCUUAUUAUCGCUCUCUCAACAUAAAUAUGUAGUAAGAAGUUUGAUUUCAACAAUUAUUGACUCCCCAUUGAAUAUCUUCGCCAACCCAUACACUUUAAUUUAUCAUAUUUAUACAAAUCUCCACCCUAAUUACAAAAGUCUCAACUAAUUAUGUAUUUUGUUGGAUGUAUUAAUUAUGUAUCUCGACAGACCCAAAAUCAGAAAAAUGUAUCGGAAGCUAAUUAUGUAUCUCGACAGACCCGAAAUCGAAAAAAAAAUGUAUUGGAAGUUAAUUAGGUAUCCUUACAAAGGAAAAAAUGUAUAUUCAUUGCAUGUAUCAGGAGCUAAUUAUGCAUCUCAACAGAUCCAAAAUCGGAUUUUCAGUAAUUAUGCAAAAUAUCGGAAUUUUUUGUAAUUGAGCUCCAAACUAUUGAGAUUUAUGUUGUUUGCCCUAUUUUUUUUCCCCCUAUCCUUAUAGAAAUGUAGCGGUAAAGGGUGUGGCCUAGUGGUUAAUGAAGUGAGUUGAACGUCUCAAGUUCAAAUCUAGCAGACAAAAAAGACAAGGUGAUUUCUUCCCAUCUAUUGUGUGCACUCCUUGGGGUGGACAGAGUUACUGGCAUGUGUUCCGUGGAAUUAGUAGGUGCAGAAAGCUGGCUCGGACAACACGAGUCACAAAAAAGAAAUUCACAAUGGGUAUAGAGAAUUUGUAUUGCAGGCACCAAAUAAUUGGAAUUUAGGCUUUGUUGAUUGAUUGAUGUUUUUUUUUCUUUGUUUUAUUUUGGGAUAUUGUGUACAGGAAGAAGUGGAGCAGAGUUAUAUCAUGAUUAAGCCUGAUGGUGUUCAAAGAGGACUUGUAUGCUUCAGUAUAUUCUUUCUUUAUUUGAGUUUGGAUUAUUACAAAGAAUUUAACUAUAUGUUUUUGGCCACAUAUUUUGAAUUUCUGAAGAUAUGUUAUACUUAAUUCUUAUAGGUUGGAGAAAUUAUAUCCAGAUUUGAGAGAAAAGGGUUUAAGCUUACUGGAUUAAAGCUUUUUCAGUGCCCCAAAGAAUUGGCACAGGUUUGCCUUUUUGAGCUUUACUUUGGUGUCAACAAUAUUUUUUCAAGAACUGACAUUUCUACGAAAACCCCGGCCUCCCCCCCCCCCAAAAAAAAAGAAAAAGGAAAAAAGCAACAAUGGCAUACCUAAUGUAAUCCCACAAGUAGAAGAAAAUCUGUACUCUUAAUGUCUAAGGGCUUCAUCGGCUAUUUCCUUUCAGAUAUCCCAAAGUUUUCCUGUAUCGAACGAGGUUUGUUCAAUUCACAUGUUACACUUGGUAACUGCAAUGAAUGCUAGGAACCAACAAAAUAUUCUUCGUUCCAGUUAACUCACAUAAAGAUUUGAAUUGUAAAGUUGGACAAAAUGCAAUUUCAAACUUUGUAGUAUGUUGUUUGGACUACAAGACAUGAAACUAGUAGGUAAAACAGAUAUAAUGUACAAGUUAAGAAGUGGAAGGUUUGCUUACCAGGAGAAAUCUUG
This 3376-nucleotide long non-coding RNA is filed under the name Capsicum annuum. RNAcentral describes it as "long non-coding RNA (CANN_LNC009277)". The record is from RNAcentral. Lineage: Eukaryota; Viridiplantae; Streptophyta; Magnoliopsida; Solanales; Solanaceae.